UUCCACUCCCUACUUGCUGAUAAGGGGUGGUUGUGGUGGGUUACCCUUGAUAUGUCAUUGCCUCGGCGGAGGCAUGGUUGUAAGCUGGUAGUAAUUAUAACGCACCACAAAGUAGCCCACAAUAAUCCUAUUAAUUUUCCUUAUUAACACUAAAAUUUGUCGAUUGUAGCAUAUGAAAAUAAGGGUCUUUCCCGCAGAAGAUUGUUUUAUCCAAAUACUUAAAAUGUCACAAAAACGGGGUGGCUGUCUCCACUGACCAGCCACUGAACAAUAAUUAUUAGACUAACGUACACUUAUCCAAAUGCAACGAAAUUUUAUACACAUAAACUAGACACACCAAGCUAUGCUCACACAAAUUUUUGGGAUUUUUGGAGUUGAUUAGCUAUUUCAAUUAAAUCGGACAAAACAGGACCUCAACAAGUUUUAAAUAAUACCAAUAGAUUUUAAUUCACAAGUUAAGAAAACGAGUUAGGGGACAUGCUAUCCACCACCAAAUAAUCAUGCAAGCAUGUUAUGUUUCAUUCAAAUCCCUUUUAUUUCCGGAUGAAGAUGCUCAAGUUGGCUCACUGUUAGAACUCAACCUAUUACUCUUUCUUACGUAGUAUGUUAAGAGAAUGGCGUUUUCAACUUAACUUAGUCCCUAGCAUGCAAUUUAGAAUGGCGUGUUCAUAGAUUUAACAAGUAGAGAUCAUUAAGGAUAAAAAGAGUUUGAGUCAUCACAAGGCAUCGUAAGCACUGGCGUUGUCUUACUUAUCCUAGAAAUCGGUUCACAUGUUAACCACAAUUAACAAGUGCUACUCUAUAACAUAUGUAGGUCCUCAUUCAACAAGGGCAGGUAAACAUAUAUUCAUAGCAUUAAAAUCCUAGAUAUGCUCACUAUGUAUGCAUCCAUAGAAACACAUAAAGAAUUUAUCAAUGACAUAAGUAGUGAAACAAUUUUCAUCCUUUCAUAAAAGCAAUUCAACGAAAUGUCAUAACAAACUUGCAAUCAUAUUCGGGGCUUCAAAACAGCCCCUAGCUACUUAAAAUUUAGUUACACAUAAUUCUCAAAUUAAACCAAAAGUAAAACAUGGGGUUGAGAAGAUAAAACCAAGAAAAAUAGAGUGAAGCUUUGCUCUCUGCCGUGCCUCUUGCAUCUGCUGUCAGUCUGUGAUUCUGUUCCCUCUGCUUCUGUGCUUCUGCUCCCACACAGUCUCUCCUCUUUCUCUGCGCCUCACGUCUGCUCUCUGUCGUGUCUCUCCUCUGCUUCUUAUUCUUCUUUUAUUUCUUUUUCCGCACAGUUUUUCUCUGCUUCUCUGUCUUUAAUUGCUGUUUUUAUUCUUUCUGCCGUCCAGUCCGUGUCCCACUUCUCUAUUUCUUUAUUCAGUCUUUUCUUUCUGCCAGUUUUUGUCAGUCCCGCCACUCACUUCCUUUCUUUAUUCCUCUUGUGUCCUGCUUUCCUUUUACCGUCCCAUUUAUUUCUGUUUUUUUCUUUUCUUUUUCUGUUCUUUCCAGCCCGUGUCUCUCUGCCUUUGUCAAAAGGAAGCCAUUUCAAUUCACACUUAGUGCUCCACGUGCUCCACCUUUAAUUCUUUUAUUUGUUUUUUCUAUUUUCUUUAUUCCAUUUUGCUUGAAAUUGAUCCUAAAACAAAAUUAACUGUACAUUAACACAAGGUAAGGUAAAAUGCCACAAUUUUAACACAAAAACAUCACAAAGACUUUAGAAAUUGAUGGUAUAAAUGCAUGAAAUAUAUGAGUGAUCAAAUACCCCCAAACUUACAUUUUUGCUAGUCCUCUAGCAAAACAAAACACAAAACAAAACCACUCAACUAAGACUAGAUUCAACAACUUAGUAGCCAACUUCUCAAUUUCGAUUUCAGAGAUAAGUGCUAACCAUGAAAUACACGGCCAAGAAGUAAGUAACAAGAGCUCAAAACAUCAUCCAAUAGUUAACCAAAUUUCCUUCAAACAAAAUGUUGAAAAGCCAUGUGUGAGCUAGCCAUGUCAAUGCAAUUCCAAGCUCCUUUAAAUCAUCAUAUGCAAACAUGUGAGUUUCUUACACGACAUACGCUCAUUCACUCAUAAGUUUUGGUUAAUGUGUUUCACUCAAGUGAUCUCAUUGUACAUGCCGCCAUAUGCUUGCUUGUCCACCUAACUCGCUUAUCAAUAUUUAAGUAAUACCUUGGAUCAAUAGGACUUUAUUACGGUUGUAAUGGGGCUAAAGGUGAUAGGCUAAUGAAAGAAAUGAUAUGGAAAUCAAAAAUUUUGAGAAAGUACACUGUGGUAGUUUUCCAACACCUCAAUAUCACACCACCUCAAAUUGAAAGCAAAAUACUAAAACCUCGAGCACCUGUUACUCCCCAAAUUUAACUUCAAAAGGAAAUUUAUACUCUACCGACACAUUUUCAAUAAAUCUACACUCUCCAAUUUUCAUAUAUUUCGUUUUUUUUUUUUUUUCAUAUGAAAGAAACAAUUUUGAAAAAGCUACAUCACCCAUCAAAUUCACAUUUCAUUGUAAUACACAUGCUCCAUCCAUUUUUUUACAUAAAUGAAACCCCCAAAAGCACAACCUAUGUAAUACUUUCUCAAAACAAUAAGGAAUCGAUUUUUGUGUAUGGGCUCAACUCCAAUAUUGGAGCAAGGUAAAGAGAUGUGGCUAACAAAGAAAUGGCUUAGUUAAAGGCUCAAUGGGCUACUACGGAUAAACAUAGCAUAUAAGGUAGGCAUGAAAGGCUCAAACGAUCCGAAGAUGGCCUAUAUCACUUCCAAGUUAUUACAUGAAUUGAUUAAUGAAUCGAGUAGUAUAAAGCAAG
Molecule: long non-coding RNA, 2792 nt
Filed under: Malus domestica (apple)
Lineage: Eukaryota; Viridiplantae; Streptophyta; Magnoliopsida; Rosales; Rosaceae
Description: long non-coding RNA (MDOM_LNC019433)
Source: RNAcentral